Molecule: ribosomal RNA, 232 nt
Filed under: uncultured bacterium
Lineage: Bacteria
Description: partial 16S ribosomal RNA
Rfam family: Bacterial small subunit ribosomal RNA
Source: RNAcentral
UACGUAGGGUGCAAGCGUUGUCCGGAAUUAUUGGGCGUAAAGAGCUCGUAGGCGGUUUGUCGCGUCUGCUGUGAAAACCCGAGGCUCAACCUCGGGCCUGCAGUGGGUACGGGCAGACUAGAGUGCGGUAGGGGAGACUGGAAUUCCUGGUGUAGCGGUGGAAUGCGCAGAUAUCAGGAGGAACACCGAUGGCGAAGGCAGGUCUCUGGGCCAUUACUGACACUGAGGCGCG